RNAcentral lists this ribosomal RNA (253 nucleotides) under uncultured bacterium. RNAcentral's name for it is "partial 16S ribosomal RNA". It matches the Rfam family "Bacterial small subunit ribosomal RNA", at positions 524 to 776 of the family's 1533-position model. The record is from RNAcentral.
UACGUAGGGUGCGAGCGUUAUUCGGAAUUACUGGGCGUAAAGCGUGCGCAGGCGGUGAUGUAAGUCAGGUGUGAAAUCCCCGGGCUUAACCUGGGAACUGCAUUUGUGACUGCAUCGCUGGAGUGCGGCAGAGGGGGAUGGAAUUCCGCGUGUAGCAGUGAAAUGCGUAGAUAUGCGGAGGAACACCGAUGGCGAAGGCAAUCCCCUGGGCCUGCACUGACGCUCAUGCACGAAAGCGUGGGGAGCAAACAGG